GUCCAGUCUGGGGUGAAAUCCCACGGCUCAACCGUGGAAUUGCCUCAGAUACUGACGACCUCGAGGGAGGUAGGGGCGAGCGGAACUGUGGGUGGAGCGGUGAAAUGCGUUGAUAUCCACAGGAACUCCGGUGGCGAAGGCGGCUCGCUGGACCUCUUCUGACGCUGAGGCACGAAAGCUAGGGGAGCAAACGGGAUUAGAUACCCCGGUAGUCCUAGCCCUAAACGAUGAGGACUAGGUAGUAGGCUAGACAUGGGCUUACUGCCGAAGCAAAAGUGCUAAGUCCUCCGCCUGGGGAGUAUGGCCGCAAGGCUGAAACUCAAAGGAAUUGACGGGGGCUCACACAAGCGGUGGAGCAUGUGGCUUAAUUCGAGGCUACGCGAAGAACCUUAUCCUGGGCUUGACAUGUGCGAAAGCGCCGGGAAGUAGGACCCGGAAACGGGAACGAACGGUACCCAGCCCGGAACCCGGCACAGGUGCUGCAUGGCUGUCGUCAGCUCGUGUCGUGAGAUGUCGGGUUAAGUCCCAUAACGAGCGAAACCCUUACCUUCAGUUGCUACCCGCAAGGGGCACUCUGGAGGGACUGCCGGUGUCAAACCGGAGGAAGGUGGGGAUGACGUCAAGUCAUCAUGGCCUUUAUGCCCAGGGCUGCACACGUGCUACAAUGGCGUGUACAAAGCGAAGCAACCACGCGAGUGGAAGCCAAUCGCAAAAAACACGCCCCAGUUCAGAUCGGAGGCUGCAACUCGCCUCCGUGAAGACGGAAUCGCUAGUAAUCGCGGGUCAGCAACACCGCGGUGAAUGUGUUCCUGAGCCUUGUACACACCGCCCGUCAAGCCACGAAAGGGAGGGGCGCCCGAAGUCACCUUCACCGGUGCCGAAGGCGAAACUCCUGAUUGGGACUAAGUCGUAACAAGGUAA
Molecule: ribosomal RNA, 921 nt
Filed under: uncultured bacterium
Lineage: Bacteria
Description: bacterial SSU rRNA
Rfam family: Bacterial small subunit ribosomal RNA
Source: RNAcentral